AAAGACCCCGUGAACCUUUACUAUAGCUUGACACUGAACAUUGAGCCUUGAUGUGUAGGAUAGGUGGGAGGCUUUGAAGUGUGGACGCCAGUCUGCAUGGAGCCGACCUUGAAAUACCACCCUUUAAUGUUUGAUGUUCUAACGUGGGCCCCUUACCGGGGUUGCGGACAGUGUCUGGUGGGUAGUUUGACUGGGGCGGUCUCCUCCUAAAGAGUAACGGAGGAGCACGAAGGUUGGCUAAUCCUGG
Molecule: ribosomal RNA, 247 nt
Filed under: Escherichia coli
Lineage: Bacteria; Pseudomonadati; Pseudomonadota; Gammaproteobacteria; Enterobacterales; Enterobacteriaceae
Description: partial 23S ribosomal RNA
Rfam family: Bacterial large subunit ribosomal RNA
Source: RNAcentral